GGGGUUGUGGCUCAGAGGUAGAGCGCUUGCCUAGCCCGCAUGAGGCACUGGGUUCGAGCCUCAGCACCA
Molecule: transfer RNA, 69 nt
Filed under: Ictidomys tridecemlineatus (thirteen-lined ground squirrel)
Lineage: Eukaryota; Metazoa; Chordata; Mammalia; Rodentia; Sciuridae
Description: Spermophilus tridecemlineatus (thirteen-lined ground squirrel) tRNA
Rfam family: tRNA
About the family: Transfer RNA (tRNA) molecules are approximately 80 nucleotides in length. Their secondary structure includes four short double-helical elements and three loops (D, anti-codon, and T loops).
Source: Rfam by way of RNAcentral